UUUUGAAUUUUGUAAUGAACCCAUGGCAUUUGCCCUACUCUGCCAUUGGUCAGAGACAUAAUAAAAAUCUUCAAA
RNAcentral lists this small RNA (75 nucleotides) under Arabidopsis thaliana (thale cress). RNAcentral's name for it is "ATSL236520". Lineage: Eukaryota; Viridiplantae; Streptophyta; Magnoliopsida; Brassicales; Brassicaceae. The record is from RNAcentral.